CGUGAACGCUGGCGGUAGGCCUAACAUAUGCAAGUCGAACGGCAGCACAGUAAGAGCUUGCUCUUACGGGUGGCGAGUGGCGGACGGGUGAGGAAUACAUCGGAAUCUACUUUUUCGUGGGGGAUAACGUAGGGAAACUUACGCUAAUACCGCAUACGACCUACGGGUGAAAGCAGGGGAUCUUCGGACCUUGCGCGAUUGAAUGAGCCGAUGUCGGAUUAGCUAGUUGGCGGGGUAAAGGCCCACCAAGGCGACGAUCCGUAGCUGGUCUGAGAGGAUGAUCAGCCACACUGGAACUGAGACACGGUCCAGACUCCUACGAGAGGCAGCAGUGGGGAAUAUUGGACAAUGGGCGCAAGCCUGAUCCAGCCAUACCGCGUGGGUGAAGAAGGCCUUCGGGUUGUAAAGCCCUUUUGUUGGGAAAGAAAAGCAGCAGGUUAAUACCCCGCUGUUCUGACGGUACCCAAAGAAUAAGCACCGGCUAACUUCGCG
Molecule: ribosomal RNA, 492 nt
Filed under: uncultured bacterium
Lineage: Bacteria
Description: partial 16S ribosomal RNA
Rfam family: Bacterial small subunit ribosomal RNA
Source: RNAcentral